RNAcentral lists this long non-coding RNA (290 nucleotides) under Malurus cyaneus samueli. RNAcentral's name for it is "lncRNA (ENSMCSG00000005225.1)". Lineage: Eukaryota; Metazoa; Chordata; Aves; Passeriformes; Maluridae. The record is from RNAcentral.
UUACCUAAUAAAACAAAAGUAUACAAAUUCUUCUUUUUUUUCUUUGUAUGUGUGAAGAUGAAUUUAACAUUCAACAGGAAGAGUCUGAAAAGAAAAAGCGCAGUCCAGAAUUGAAUGAAAAUUCUCCAGAGGAAAAUCAACCUGUAAUAGUGAAACGCAAAAGGGGACGGCCUCGUAAAUACCCUCUUGAAGCAGUACAACCUGGUGGUGGGGAGUCAAAAGCUGAUAUGAGCACUGGGAAUCUGCAGUCUCCUACCUUUGCAAGUAGAGGAAAAACACCUCAAACAGGU